This 817-nucleotide ribosomal RNA is filed under the name uncultured bacterium. RNAcentral's name for it is "bacterial SSU rRNA". It matches the Rfam family "Bacterial small subunit ribosomal RNA", at positions 73 to 889 of the family's 1533-position model. The record is from RNAcentral.
GAGGCAGCAAUGUCUUAGAUGGCGACCGGCGCACGGGUGAGUAACACGUAUGCAACCUGCUCACAACUGCGGGAUAACCCGUCGAAAGACGGACUAAUACCGCAUGGUAUGGAUUGAUCGCCUGAUUGAUUCAUCAAAGAAUUUCGGUUGUGGAUGGGCAUGCGUUCCAUUAGGCAGUUGGUGAGGUAACGGCUCACCAAACCUACGAUGGAUAGGGGUUCUGAGAGGAAGGUCCCCCACACUGGUACUGAGACACGGACCAGACUCCUACGGGAGGCAGCAGUGAGGAAUAUUGGUCAAUGGGCGAGAGCCUGAACCAGCCAAAUCGCGUGAAGGAUGAAGGUAUUAUGUAUUGUAAACUUCUUUUAUAGGGGAAUAAAGUGCACCACGUGUGGUGUUUUGUAUGUACCCUAGGAAUAAGGAUCGGCUAACUCCGUGCCAGCAGCCGCGGUAAUACGGAGGAUCCAAGCGUUAUCCGGAUUUAUUGGGUUUAAAGGGUGCGUAGGCGGGGAUACAAGUCAGCGGUGAAAGUUUGCGGCUCAACCGUAAAAUUGCCGUUGAAACUGUAUCCCUUGAGUGUAGACGAGGUGCGUGGAAUUCGUAGUGUAGCGGUGAAAUGCUUAGAUAUUACGAAGAACUCCAAUUGCGUAGGCAGCGCACCAGGCUACAACUGACGCUGAGGCACGAAGGUGCGGGUAUCAAACAGGAUUAGAUACCCUGGUAGUCCGCACAGUAAACGAUGAAUACUAGCUGUUUGCGAUAUACAGUAAGUGGCACAGCGAAAGCGUUAAGUAUUCCACCUGGGGAGUACGCGGGC